This 639-nucleotide long non-coding RNA is filed under the name Phoenix dactylifera (date palm). Its description in RNAcentral is "long non-coding RNA (PDAC_LNC018819)". Lineage: Eukaryota; Viridiplantae; Streptophyta; Magnoliopsida; Arecales; Arecaceae. The record is from RNAcentral.
UCAGGGAAAACAUCAGGGUAUUCUCCACAAUAGGAAUAUCAUCUAGUCUUGUCUCAAUUCGAGUAUCUAUGACAUAGGCUAGAUAGGCUUGACACCCUUUUCUUAAUGCUUUGCGUGCACACAUAGCAGAAACAAUAUGUAAAGAAGACUUACAUUGCUUGGGUGCAUCGCCUUGAAAGAAAAAUUCCAGCUCCCCUGGUAUAUGGAACACUACUCUCUUUCUGAAGCAGUCUAUAUGAGCAUGGUACUUGGACAGCCAAUCCAUUCCCAAGAUGAUGUCAAAAUCUUGCAUGUCUAGCUGUAUUAAGUCUGCCACUAACUCCCUUUCUCCUAACUGAAUUAUGCACUUCUUGAAGAUAAUGUCAGCAAUUACUGUUUUUUGUAGGGGUGUAGCAACAUAUAAUGGCUCCACUAAUUUCUCAGGUAUGCAAUAUAAAGAGCUAGAGAAUUUGAUAGAUACAAAAGAAUGUGUAGAGCCAGAAUCAAAUAAUAUAGAUGUAUCAACUGUAUUGAUGGGGAUAGUACCUGUCACCACACUUUCGCUUGCACUGACAUCCUGCUGAGUCAAUGCAAAGACCCGAGCAGUCCCCUUCUACUUCUGAUCCCCUGAUCCAAUAGGCCUAGGGUCAUUCUUCUUUU